Molecule: long non-coding RNA, 567 nt
Filed under: Pan troglodytes (chimpanzee)
Lineage: Eukaryota; Metazoa; Chordata; Mammalia; Primates; Hominidae
Description: lincRNA
Source: RNAcentral
AGGUAUGGACAAGGUUCUGACCCUUAUUAUUGGAACUCAAAUCCAGAUGGAGUUUGUUGGGACUUCACAUCAUUGGAAGGUGAAUAGAAAAGUAUGUCUUAAGAAUUUCACCAUGUUUUGGAAGAAUUGCAGCAAGAAAAAAGAACUCCUUUGUUUCCACCCCAUUUCUUUUAAGGAAAACCUGGAAUAUCUGAGGGUGCAAGCUGAGAAAGGUCUGCUUAUCUGUUCCCUACUCUGGCAAUCAAAAAGGAUCCAAGUCUACUGUUCUCUUCUCCUGGCACUCUUAACUUGCACACAUUGCAACCUUUUAUGGCAAAGUAAUGGUCAAGCUAUCCUAACAAGGACGAGCCCUUAUUAAAUAAUUCACUGUGGUUGGGAAAUGGUGAGGAAGCCAUCUUCUUUUGUCUUCUUUUCUCUGAAAAUAAAAUUUUGUCUAAUUUUGUAUUAAGGACAUUUGGGCUUCACUUAAUUACAUUCUCUACUUUCUUUAAUAGCUCGAAGCUCAUGACAGUACAUGUCUGGUCUUGCAAAACAAGAUGAAUUUGUUAAAUUAAACUUUUAAAAAAA